UCCUGGAUAGCUCAGUUGGUAGAGCGCGCGGCUGUUAACCGCGGUGUCAUGGGUUCGAGCCCCAUUCUGGGAG
This 73-nucleotide transfer RNA is filed under the name Clostridium sp. AF50-3. Its description in RNAcentral is "tRNA-Asn". It matches the Rfam family "tRNA". Rfam says of the family: Transfer RNA (tRNA) molecules are approximately 80 nucleotides in length. Their secondary structure includes four short double-helical elements and three loops (D, anti-codon, and T loops). Lineage: Bacteria; Bacillati; Bacillota; Clostridia; Eubacteriales; Clostridiaceae. The record is from RNAcentral.